AUUGAACGCUGGCGGCAUGCUUUACACAUGCAAGUCGAACGGUAACAGGCCUUCUGGUGCUGACGAGUGGCGAACGGGUGAGUAAUGCAUCGGAACGUGCCCAGAGGUGGGGGAUAACGCAGCGAAAGCUGUGCUAAUACCGCAUGUGAUCUGAGGAUGAAAGCGGGGGACCAGGCAGCAAUGUUUGGCCUCGCGCCUUUGUAGCGGCCGAUGUCAGAUUAGGUAGUUGGUGGGGUAAAGGCCUACCAAGCCGACGAUCUGUAGCUGGUAUGAGAGGACCACCAGCCACACUGUGACUGAGACACGGCCCAGACUCCUACGGGAGGCAGCAGUGGGGAAUUUUGGACAAUGGGCGAAAGCCUGAUCCAGCAAUGCCGCGUGAGGGAAGAAGGCCUUCGGGUUGUAAACCGCUUUUGUACGGAACGAAAAGGCUCUGGCUAAUACCUGGGGCUGAUGACGGUACCGUAAGAAUAAGCACCGGCUAACUACGUG
RNAcentral lists this ribosomal RNA (492 nucleotides) under uncultured bacterium. Its description in RNAcentral is "partial 16S ribosomal RNA". It matches the Rfam family "Bacterial small subunit ribosomal RNA", at positions 30 to 507 of the family's 1533-position model. The record is from RNAcentral.